Molecule: long non-coding RNA, 406 nt
Organism: Canis lupus familiaris (dog)
Lineage: Eukaryota; Metazoa; Chordata; Mammalia; Carnivora; Canidae
Exons: 3
Source: RefSeq, a predicted model, not a curated record
CCCACCAGCUGUCAGAGGUGCUGAAGCCCAUCCCAGCGCAGCCAGAACGUCCUCAUCAGGGACACACAGGCCAAUGCAGUCGGACUUAGUGUCGACAGAAGCCAGGUGAUGGAAUCGAUCUGGAAAAGCGUGACAAUCUUACGAGCACUCUGAAAUGGAACUGAUGUAGAACCUACAUGAGGACCUUGGUGUGUGAGUCCCGACGUGAGGCCCGAGGAACAGCAGCCUCCAGCACAGGAGAAUGGCUCAGUGCUCCUGCGGGAUCUGCUCUGCAUGAUAUGCAAAGGUGCAAGGGCACACGUGCAGUCCGGAAGAGCUCUGUGAGCACUGGCCAGCACUGAGACGUCCUGCGAGAAGCCCAGCACCUACUGCCUCGAACAGGGUCCUGUUCGAACAGGUCCGAAGC